GGAUCCAGACUUUGAUCCUGGCUCAGGAUGAACGCUAGCUACAGGCUUAACACAUGCAAGUCGAGGGGCAGCGGGAUUGAAGCUUGCUUCAAUUGCCGGCGACCGGCGCACGGGUGAGUAACGCGUAUCCAACCUUCCGUACACUCAGGGAUAGCCUUUCGAAAGAAAGAUUAAUACCUGAUGGUAUGAUGAGAUUGCAUGAUAGCAUCAUUAAAGAUUUAUCGGUGUACGAUGGGGAUGCGUUCCAUUAGGUAGUAGGCGGGGUAACGGCCCACCUAGCCGACGAUGGAUAGGGGUUCUGAGAGGAAGGUCCCCCACAUUGGAACUGAGACACGGUCCAAACUCCUACGGGAGGCAGCAGUGAGGAAUAUUGGUCAAUGGACGAGAGUCUGAACCAGCCAAGUAGCGUGAAGGAUGAAGGUCCUACGGAUUGUAAACUUCUUUUAUAAGGGAAUAAACCCUUCCACGUGUGGGAGCUUGUAUGUACCUUAUGAAUAAGCAUCGGCUAACUCCGUGUCAGCAGCCGCGGUAAUACGGAGGAUGCGAGCGUUAUCCGGAUUUAUUGGGUUUAAAGGGAGCGCAGACGGGUCGUUAAGUCAGCUGUGAAAGUUUGGGGCUCAACCUUAAAAUUGCAGUUGAUACUGGCGUCCUUGAGUGCGGUUGAGGUGUGCGGAAUUCGUGGUGUAGCGGUGAAAUGCUUAGAUAUCACGAAGAACUCCGAUUGCGAAGGCAGCACACUAAGCCGUAACUGACGUUCAUGCUCGAAAGUGUGGGUACCAAACAGGAUUAGAUACCCUGGUAGUCCACACGGUAAACGAUGGAUACUCGCUGUUGGCGAUAUACUGUCAGCGGCUUAGCGAAAGCGUUAAGUAUCCCACCUGGGGAGUACGCCGGCAACGGUGCAACUCAAAUGAAUUGACGG
This 922-nucleotide ribosomal RNA is filed under the name uncultured Bacteroidota bacterium. RNAcentral describes it as "bacterial SSU rRNA". It matches the Rfam family "Bacterial small subunit ribosomal RNA", at positions 1 to 916 of the family's 1533-position model. Lineage: Bacteria; Pseudomonadati; Bacteroidota. The record is from RNAcentral.